CAACAGCGUAUAUUAAAGUUGUUGCAGUUAGAACGCUCGUAGUCGGAUUUCGGGGCGGGCCGACCGGUCUGCCGAUGGGUAUGCACUGGCCGGCGCGUCCUUCCUCUCGGAGACCGUUCCUACUCUUAACUGAGCGGGAGCGGGAGACGGGACUUUUACUUUGAAAAAAUCAGAGUGUUUCAAGCAGGCAGCUCGCUCUUGCAUGGAUUAGCAUGGGAUAAUGAAAUAGGACUUUGGUGCUAUUUUGUUGGUUUCGAACACCGAAGUAAUGAUGAGAAGGGACAGUCAGGGGCACUCGUAUUCCGCCGAGAGAGGUGAAAUUCUCAGACCAGCGGAAGACGAACCACUGCGAAAGCAUUUGCCAGGGAUGUUUUCACUGA
RNAcentral lists this ribosomal RNA (380 nucleotides) under uncultured eukaryote. RNAcentral describes it as "partial 18S ribosomal RNA". It matches the Rfam family "Eukaryotic small subunit ribosomal RNA", at positions 592 to 976 of the family's 1831-position model. The record is from RNAcentral.